This is a long non-coding RNA of Bacillus rossius redtenbacheri, 3682 nucleotides long. RefSeq lists it as uncharacterized. NCBI's taxonomy places the organism in Eukaryota, Metazoa, Arthropoda, Insecta, Phasmatodea, Bacillidae. The transcript has 2 exons. The record is from RefSeq and is a predicted model, not a curated record.
GUGAAAGAAAUGGUAGAGUUCGCCGGAUAGGUUCUAUUUCUGGAGAGAGAGAGAGGUAGAUUUUUAUGUUUAUUAUUAAGUUAGUUUCAGCUUCUGAUAGCAGGUUAUUAAGAGUUUACUUGAGGAGAGGAUUACGGAAUUUUAGUCUAUAGUGGAGGAAGUCUUUGAGAUUUUUUUUUUGACGUAACAGAUGUUUAUUUGAGUAUACUUGUAAGGAUAAAGUUUAUAGUGAUAAGUUGUUUUAAGUCGUUGAGUUUAUCAGGGAUUUUUACGUGAGGAGAAUACGUUAUAAUUUAAAUGAUUAAUAGAGAUAAUGCAAGUGGUUUAAUUUAAUUGAAAUUAAUUUUAAGAUUGUAGGUUAAGAGAGUUAAAAUUUAAAAUAAAGUUUUUUUCGUAAAUAGGAAUUAUUUUCAAGAGAAGUUUGUUUUGUUUUCGUGCGCGUAGGAGACGAGACGUACGAAUUAAAUCAGUCGAGGGAAGGAUAAACGUUAGAAAGGAAUUAAAGAGAAAACGAGAGUUUAUGUAAAAGAGAGUUAUAGAAUUUAUAGUGAUGUUUUGUUUUAAUUAGAAAAAUGUUGAGAGUUGUUUCAGAACGACACGUCAGUGGACGUGGCAGAGUGAACACGUGACGGGGAGGUGCUGAGACCUAGCGGAGAACGGAGGAACCGCAAGCGAGGGUUGGCGCACCUGAUGGAAUUCGGUGACGUCACGGGCUCAUACGGAGACGUGGACAGGCCGUGACCUUGUUUUGAUCAGCUGUACGGUAACUUAGCGAUAAGAAAAUAGACUAUUGGUUAAAUAAAUUUAAAUUUAAGUGUGUUUUAGGAGAAGAGGAACUUUCAGUAUAUUCCUUAAGAUGAGCUGAGCAGCAGUCCAGUUUACAAGAUGACAAGAGUUCGAGAGACAAGAUACAAGAUCACUGAAACAAGAGCCAAGACUGAAGAUUCAAGAGAAGAGAAAGCUGGCAGCCAUGGACUUACAAGUGGAGAUUAAUAAGGUCAUGUAAAGUUUUAUUUUUUUAUGGAAGACAGUAACUGGAGUUUUUUUGUUAUAAACAUUAUUUACAGAACUUUUUAGGUUAUAGUAAUGUAAUGGAACUAGUGAGUUGUGGUAGCUGUCAAAAAGAACUAAUACCUUAAGUUUAAUUUUUAAAGUUAAUUUUCUUAAUUUACAGAGGGAUUAGUAGUUUUUUUUUAAACCUUAUUUAGGUUGGAAUUUAAAUACAAUAGCUUAUUAUAAAUGUGUACGAACAGUUCAAGUUCACAGUACUGAUAGGUAGGUCAGAUGAUCUUAUUGAUUUUGAUGAUUUGUUGUUUUGAGUUGAUUUUUAAGUGUUGUGAAUUAGACAAUGAAAUAGUUCUGAAAACUUAAAUUAUUUCAAGCUAAGAAAUAGUAAAGUUAAUUGUAACUCAAAGGACACCAGAAUUUAAUUUUUUUUUGAAUUAGUAAUGUUUGAAAAUUUUAUACUUUACAAGAAAGGUUAUAAACAAACAGAUCGGAUGGAACAAGGAUGCAGUAAAUCACAAUUUCAUUUAGAAUUAUUGAUUAGCUUUUGAGGUUAUGAAGUAAAAGUAAUUAUAGUUUAAAAGUUUGAAUAAAAAAAAAUGUUUUUUUUUUAUUUGUUUGAAAUAGAAAGUUUAAAAGUUAAUUAGUCAUGAUCUAGGUGGGUGAUGGGGUGGGAAUUGGCCACUCUUUUUCCCUAUAACCUCCCUAACAUGGCCUUCUAUUACAACUAACAGAAAUAAAGAAGAAGAAAAAUGAAGAAUUAUUAGUUAGAAUGUUUCUUUCAUGAAGAUACCUGAUGAACUUUUACUGUUUGGAAGAAUAGAAGCAAGGUUAGUCAGAUAUUUUUACUCAGAAGAAGAAGAAGAUAAAGCAGUUUUAUGACUCGACAAGCCAGAGAUUGGUGUUUCCCCUCUGCGCUUCUAUUGACUACGUUGUUUACUCUCAUGGGAUAGCUGGUUCGGCACCAUGGAGAGAGAUUGGUGGGCAUUGUGGUUGCCCCCAGAAGAAAAGAAGAGUAGAAGAGGUUAUGGGUGGGUCAUGUGAACUGACCUUCAACCCAGUUACUUCGUGGGGACUAUUUGCUGUAUAGAGAAGAUCAAGACUCAAGAGUUAGGGAAAAUCAUUGGAGGUCAUGUUUCCCUUCCUUAAGUUUUUCCUAUCAAAUUAUUUGCCUGAUUAGAUUAUGCUAAGGGUGGGAUACUUUAUGUUAGCAGUUGAAUUAAUUAAUUAUAUUUUUUUGUGUGUUUGCAUCCUUGCCCAUCGAUUGCAGUUUAGUAGUUAGUUUUGUAUUUGUCAGGCGUGAUGGUAAUGCCUGUUGAUGAUGUUUCAGAAUUGUAAUCUGUUCGUGAUGAGGAUGGCACAACUCCGAAGCAGAUGUGGGGAGAAGUUGUGAGCUGCCCUGGAAGCCAGUCCAGUAGCUGUUGGAGUUGAGUGGUGUUUGCUGAUGGCCAGCCCAGGGAGCUACUCUUCUCGACAACACUGACUUCGAGGAGUUGCACCAACCUUCACGAGAUAAGAGUUUAAUUAAUUGAAACACUGUAAGGACACUUAAUUUUUUUUUGAAGAACGAAAGAAGUAUGGUAAUAAACGGAAACCGAAAAAAAAAAAUAAUAAUAAUUAUCAAGAAUUUGCACAUUGUUUAACGAAUACUGAGAAACUAAGAACAGUAAUUUAAUUUGUAAAGAGAGCUUCACUAACAGAACAAUUUUUUUAGAAUUGAGAACUCGAGCCUCUGAAGGUUCCUGUGAGAACAAACCAGAUAAAAGUUUUACAUUUAAUUUUAUGAAUACUUGUUGUUUUAAAAUAAAUCUUAUGCAGAAUCUAGAUGUAUGUUCAGACAGCAAGGAACUAAGAAAAUUAUUAUUUUUGUGAAAUGAGGAAUUUAUAGUUAUGGUUUAAUGGAAAAAGACAAUUUGUAAUUUUGAGGUAGCUCGAUGGGGCUCGAGCUCUGUGAGGGGAGGGUUAUGUCGCGGGUUGAAAUUUUGCAGGGUUGUUGAAAUCAAAUUUAGGGACUUUACUGACGGGACUCUGGGCUGGCUGCUCUGUUCACUCGUCAGCGCAAGUGGCGUGACCAUGUAAUUGGGGCACGGGGCCGGCGCGGCGCGCUGCGGGCUUGCAGAAUUUUGUUUGUUUGUUUGGCCGCGCGCUGGCGCAGCCACGGGCCGCAGUUACUGGGGCGCGCUGUCGUAACAAGCCGCGCGGUGUGGCCUGCACAUUGGGGUAGAGGGGGGGUAGUCUUCCCAGAUGUUCUAGUUAGUUGUUUAGUAAAUUUGACUUCAAUAACGAGCUUUUGUUAUGGUAGGCGCGGCAGGGCGCGCGAAUUUAAGCGCAAGUGAGUGGUGACUCGGGGCUCACUCAGGCGGAGGCUAUGCGUCUCACCUGUGGUCACGAGUUGUUAGUUCGUUCGUGAUGUAGGAAUUCAGGCUCACUCAGGCGGAGGCUAUGCGUCUCACCUGUGGUCACGAGUUGUUAGUUCGUUCGUGAUGUAGGAAUUCAAGCUUUCGGGCGGAAGCUAUGGUCGACGCCAGAGGCCACGAGUCGUUUAAUUUAAGUUAGGUCAUAAUGUAGUCGUCAAGCUUUCGGGCGGAGGCUAUGGCCCUCGUCAGGGGUCACGCGUCAUAGUUUUUAAAAUGUAAUGUUCGUUCGGGAUUUCAAGGGCAGGAGAGGCCCCUACGUU